This 168-nucleotide non-coding RNA is filed under the name pig gut metagenome. RNAcentral describes it as "Lysine riboswitch". It matches the Rfam family "Lysine riboswitch aptamer". Rfam says of the family: Riboswitches are metabolite binding domains within certain messenger RNAs that serve as precision sensors for their corresponding targets. Allosteric rearrangement of mRNA structure is mediated by ligand binding, and this results in modulation of gene expression. The record is from RNAcentral.
GAAGGUAGAGGUUGCGUAAAUCAUUAGUAUUCCACAGGAUGUGGCAGACACAGAUGAUGGUGGAGGAAAGGGAGGCACGCCGAAAGGACACAUAUUCUGUGGAUGUGUGCUUGGGCGCAAGCUUAAUAGGCUUGUGACUGUCAUUCCGGUGUGGAAUGGGGAGCUAUC